RNAcentral lists this long non-coding RNA (365 nucleotides) under Gossypium barbadense (sea-island cotton). RNAcentral's name for it is "long non-coding RNA (GBAR_LNC006365)". Lineage: Eukaryota; Viridiplantae; Streptophyta; Magnoliopsida; Malvales; Malvaceae. The record is from RNAcentral.
GAAAAUGGAGCACAAUUAUGAGAUUCUACUAAUUGCAGUACAAUAUCAGCAAAUCGUAGUACAAUAGCAGAACAUAUCAGCAACUAACUUCGAAGAAGGAAGUGAGAAAUUAUAAUUUUUUUGACAAAUUUGGUAUUGCAUGACUACCCUAUUAUUGCAUGGUUUCUUAUACUGUCAGAUUCGAUUAGGUUUGCUGACGUGUAUUAGAUGACAAAAUCUGCAAGUCUCUGGGUGGUUGUUUACGCUGGCGUGAGCUCCUCUUGGGACCAUGUGGUUCUUCAUGUGGCUCGCUAGGCUUGGUGGCAUUACGGGCAGUGGGUUGGGUCACAACAUUACCCCCGGUUCGAAAGGCAACUUGCCCGCAC